This 458-nucleotide ribosomal RNA is filed under the name uncultured bacterium. RNAcentral describes it as "bacterial SSU rRNA". It matches the Rfam family "Bacterial small subunit ribosomal RNA", at positions 60 to 512 of the family's 1533-position model. The record is from RNAcentral.
AGUCGCGGGAGAAGCUACCCUUCGGGGUAGCGGAGACCGGCGGAUGGGUGAGUAACGCGUAGGUAAUCUGCCUUCAGGACGGGGAUAACCCACCGAAAGGUGAGCUAAUACCGGAUGAUGCAGCGGGGCCGCAUGGCCACAGUUGUUAAAUUCUUCGGGAGCCUGGAGAUGAACCUGCGUGCCAUUAGCUAGUUGGUAGGGUCAAAGCCUACCAAGGCCAUGAUGGCUAGGGGGUCUGAGAGGAUGAUCCCCCACACUGGGACUGAGACACGGCCCAGACUCCUACGGGAGGCAGCAGUGAGGAAUCUUGCGCAAUGGGGGCAACCCUGACGCAGCCACGCCGCGUGCUGGAAGACGGCCCUAUGGGUUGUAAACAGCUUUUACUGGGGAAGAACCUGGACCUUUCGAGGACCACUGACGGUACCCAGUGAAUAAGCACCGGCUAACUCCGUGCCAGC